This 160-nucleotide ribosomal RNA is filed under the name uncultured Zoogloea sp. Its description in RNAcentral is "partial 16S ribosomal RNA". It matches the Rfam family "Bacterial small subunit ribosomal RNA", at positions 355 to 507 of the family's 1533-position model. Lineage: Bacteria; Pseudomonadati; Pseudomonadota; Betaproteobacteria; Rhodocyclales; Zoogloeaceae. The record is from RNAcentral.
UGGGGAAUUUUGGACAAUGGGCGCAAGCCUGAUCCAGCCAUGCCGCGUGAGUGAACAAGGCCUUCGGGUUGUAAAGCUCUUUCAGCCGGAAAGAAAUCGCAUCUUCUAAUACAGGGUGUGGAUGACGGUACCGUAAGAAGAAGCACCGGCUAACUACGUG